GUUGAAGGUGAAAUCGUAACAGGGUCUCCGUUGGUGAACCAGCGGAGGGAUCAUUACCGAGUUUACAACUCCCAAACCCCUGUGAACAUACCUAUACGUUGCCUCGGCCGGAUCAGCCCGCGCCCCGUAAAACGGGACGGCCCGCCCGAGGACCCCUAAACUCUGUUUUUAGUGGAACUUCUGAGUAAAACAAACAAAUAAAUCAAAACUUUCAACAACGGAUCUCUUGGUUCUGGCAUCGAUGAAGAACGCAGCAAAAUGCGAUAAGUAAUGUGAAUUGCAGAAUUCAGUGAAUCAUCGAAUCUUUGAACGCACAUUGGCGCCCGCCAGUAUUCUGGCGGGCAUGCCUGUUCGAGCGUCAUUUCAACCCUCAAGCUCAGCUUGGUGUUGGGACUCGCGGUAACCCGCGUUCCCCAAAUCGAUUUGGCGGUCACGUCGAGCUUCCAUAGCGUAGUAAUCAUACACCUCGUUACUGGUAAUCGUCGCGGCCACGCCGUUAAACCCCAACUU
RNAcentral lists this ribosomal RNA (510 nucleotides) under Fusarium equiseti. Its description in RNAcentral is "partial 18S ribosomal RNA". The stretch from base 207 to 361 matches the Rfam family "5.8S ribosomal RNA". Lineage: Eukaryota; Fungi; Ascomycota; Sordariomycetes; Hypocreales; Nectriaceae. The record is from RNAcentral.